RNAcentral lists this ribosomal RNA (393 nucleotides) under uncultured bacterium. RNAcentral describes it as "partial 16S ribosomal RNA". It matches the Rfam family "Bacterial small subunit ribosomal RNA", at positions 523 to 917 of the family's 1533-position model. The record is from RNAcentral.
AUACGUAGGGAGCGAGCGUUGUCCGGAAUUACUGGGCGUAAAGGGCGCGUAGGCGGCGCUUCAAGUCGUCUGUCAAAUGGGAGGGCUUAACCCUUUUUCGCAGACGAAACUGGAGAGCUUGAGAAGCAGAGAGGCAAACAGAAUUCCUGGUGUAGCGGUGAAAUGCGUAGAUAUCAGGGAGAAUACCAGUGGCGAAGGCGGUUUGCUGGCUGCAUACUGACGCUGAAGCGCGAAAGCCAGGGGAGCAAACGGGAUUAGAUACCCCGGUAGUCCUGGCAGUAAACGAUGUAUGCUGGGUGUGAGACUAGCGAUAGUUUCGUGCCGAAGUUAACGCGAUAAGCAUACCGCCUGGGGAGUACGGUCGCAAGAUUGAAACUCAAAUGAAUUGACGGG